Molecule: long non-coding RNA, 575 nt
Filed under: Homo sapiens (human)
Lineage: Eukaryota; Metazoa; Chordata; Mammalia; Primates; Hominidae
Description: long non-coding RNA NONHSAT222135
Source: RNAcentral
GGAGUAGAUUGAAAAGGAAAGAGGGAAGAGGCAGGAGGCUAGUUGCUGUGGACCAGGCUGCGCUUGCUGGAACCACACACACUGAACUUCCUGGGACAUCCCCUGUCUGGGUGGACACCACGUCCUGCGGCAUGUUUUCUGCUAACGUGAUUUUCCUAACUCCUCGGCUAGUCUCCUGGCUUCUGAUUUUAUCAACAUGUAUCAGGAAUCAAAUUAAAUUUUGAUCAUUUUUGGAAAGGAGAAAGAAGAGUCUUCCACAGACAAUUAAAAUACAAAAAGAAAAACACGGAGCUAUCACGGGACAGGACAGAAUGAUAGAGAGGAUGGACCCGCCACACUGGAAAUGGAAGGAAGUGAAAUAAACCAAUGGACCAGCUACUGUGAAACCUGUCAUCCUUCCUGAAACAAAUCAUUCAAGAGACAGCCCCUUUGAAAUACAUGAGCAAACACUGCUCAGGCUUUUUAAAUCAAUGCAUACAAACAGAUUUUUAAACAAUAUAUGAAUGAAACGACAUGCCUAGUUUCAUAUUUUGAUUUUUUCCCACCCUAUAUUAUUUCACAUUUUCUAUACGAGG